GCUGGGCUCACAAAGUGGUUGUGAAAUGCAUUUCCAUUUUGCCCGCAUAUCACAGCCAGCUUUGAUGAGCUUAGC
This 75-nucleotide microRNA precursor is filed under the name Drosophila ananassae. Its description in RNAcentral is "microRNA dan-mir-2a precursor (dan-mir-2a-1)". Its record names the gene dan-mir-2a-1. It matches the Rfam family "mir-2 microRNA precursor family". From Rfam's summary of the family: The miRNAs are transcribed as ~70nt precursors (modelled here) and subsequently processed by the Dicer enzyme to give a ~22nt product. The record is from miRBase by way of RNAcentral. Lineage: Eukaryota; Metazoa; Arthropoda; Insecta; Diptera; Drosophilidae.